RNAcentral lists this ribosomal RNA (121 nucleotides) under Acipenser naccarii (Adriatic sturgeon). The record is from RNAcentral. Lineage: Eukaryota; Metazoa; Chordata; Actinopteri; Acipenseriformes; Acipenseridae.
GCCUGCGGCCACACCACCUUGAAUAAGCCUGAUCUCAUCUGAUCUCAGAAGCUAAGCAACGUUGGGCUUGGUUAGUACUUGGAUGGGAGACCACCUGGGAAUAUCAAGUGCUGUAGGCAUU